This 462-nucleotide ribosomal RNA is filed under the name uncultured bacterium. Its description in RNAcentral is "partial 16S ribosomal RNA". It matches the Rfam family "Bacterial small subunit ribosomal RNA", at positions 28 to 504 of the family's 1533-position model. The record is from RNAcentral.
GACGAACGCUGGCGGCGUGCUUAACACAUGCAAGUCGAACGGAAAGGCCCUGCUUGCAGGGUACUCGAGUGGCGAACGGGUGAGUAACACGUGGGUGCUCUGCCCUGCACUUCGGGAUAAGCCUGGGAAACUGGGUCUAAUACCGGAUAGGAGCCAUUUUUAGUGUGAUGGUUGGAAAGUUUUUUCGGUGUAGGAUGAGCUCGCGGCCUAUCAGCUUGUUGGUGGGGUAAUGGCCUACCAAGGCGGCGACGGGUAGCCGGCCGGAGAGGGUGGACGGCCACAGGGGGACGGAGAGACGGCCCAGACUCCUACGGGAGGCAGCAGGGGGGAAUAUUGCACAAUGGGCGCAAGCCUGAUGCAGCGACGCCGCGUGGGGGAUGACGGCCUUCGGGGUGUAAACUCCUUUCGCUAGGGACGAAGCUUUUUGUGACGGUACCUAGAUAAGAAGCACCGGCUAACUAC